UCGCGUGACGUCCACGCUUUUGGAAAUUAUGGCUGCGUAUGCACGACGUUUUUUGAAUAGUCCAAAAGCUAUCUUCGUUGGCCGAAUGUUUCUUUCGCGUUCUCUUCUCUUUUUCGGGGCUGUGAAGCAAAUUUAUAUUGUAAAACCAUAUUUCACAAGAGCAUACUUCCAUGCUACGUAAAGCAAAUUUGUUUUAUGACCUUACAACACAAAAUCUGCGACAGCUCAAAGAAACGCAAACGCAAGUGCUCCUAUUUUUGAAGCAGUAUUUGUCGAAUCUGCAUCCAAUGCAUGCUGUCGAGCGCAGGCAAAAUGGCGGCCUCUGUUGAAGCCGUACAGCUGAUGCCUGAGCGUGUACUGCACGCUAGGGGAUCAGCUGUCUCGCGGAUCGUAGUCCGUACUGAAGCGCAAUUAAUUGCCACCGACAGCGCUGUACUUUCAUCUGAGAAGUAUUUAAGACGCUUCUUCUGGAAGUUAUGAGAUACAAGAGUGAGUUGAAUAAAUAUUGCGCGUGUAGUGCUGGCAUUAUUCCGUGGUUUUCGCUGCAUGUAUUGUAUGACGUGUGAUCCUUUUUUUUUAGGAAGAGCCAGCAAAAAUUAUUCUUAACACCGGAGAACAAAAUUUGGAACAUAAUGAAUCGAGAAAUGUCAAGGCACUCAGCACCUUUCAAUAGGGCACCGCCACCACAGAACAAUAGCUUCGUCAAAGUGAUAGCAGGGACAGUAACCGUUCCUCAGUCACACACCCCUGUACUGGCGGUUCUGCUCCGAGAAUGAAACUGUUACAACGGUAAAUGUGAGCAGCUAUUCUAACUCUUUUUACAAUAAAGGUAUAAAAAGGUAAAACACCAAGUAAUAAAAUCGAAGUGCGGGAGCUAAGCUUAGACAAAAUGUUUGCCUCUAACUUUGUUACUGAGUUGUGGCCCGGCUGAAAUUGCGAGGUUUUAGAAAGAGUGCACAAUGUCGGCAAAAGUCCCAUGUGUGUCUAAAGAACAUCAUCUAUUCUGCUGCAGUUUAUCGAGUAGCACCCAUAACUGGCGAGACCUUUUACAGAGCUCUCACCACGUAUGAGUGCUUCUCGAAAAAACGAGCUGUUGGAGGAGAUCGCGGAGGUUUCGAAUGAAAAGGUCCAGAGGUGAAAACCACCAGCCACUGGCGUGAUCACUGAACCAAAAUGGCCCAUAAAGCGAGGGAGGAGGCUGCCAGGGCGGCGAGCGAAAAGAGGUCUACGGGAGGCGGGAAAGGGGGUGGCAUCGAGGGCCGAGUCGUCGACGUGCUCGGGAGGACGGGCGGCGUUCUCGUGUCCCCUCCCCAGUUCUUCGCCGAUAGCGAAGAGCGUAAUGUUGGAUGUAAAAAGUAAUGUAUGUGUUACCUGUGACUUCACAAAUCGCACAUCUGCAUAGUAGAUUAUAACACAAGAUUGCAAUAUGUUUUGAGUCUUUCUUUCAAUUUUGUGCGGCUGAUACUAAGGUUACGUACUCUCAGCAGCGACUUGUGUAAGCGAUGUUCACUGUACACAGUGUUCACAAUGUCUAAACUCUAUUCUGACUGCAGGACACGAGCUCGGAGGAAGCAGCGGAACCAAGCGCUUCCCUCACAGAGAUGCCAGCAAUAAGCUUCUUCGUGAUGUCGGGCCCUGGCGCUCUUGCAUGGCCGAGUGGCCUUGCACAUAAGGCAGUUAACUAACUAUUGUAAUAGCAUUGUUUGUAGUUGCUCUAUGAUCUUGUUAUGAAAUAUUCCACUGGGAAUCUGCUCUCACCUUCAUGUCUGGAAUAAGUUAAUCCACUUACUCAUGGAGUAGAAAUGCAAGCCUAGAAAUCACAAGAUGUAGCUGCCAGUAUCGUUGAGCAUGAGACGUAGAUACUGGCUGUAAGGUAUUAUGUUAUAAUAGAGAUUUUUUGCGUUUCUUAUAGGUUACUGUUACCAGCAACUUUCUAUGGCAUCUUUUGUUCUCUAAUUACGUGGCUGCUUUGUGUAUUAUUAUUGUAGCUAUGUAGCUACAAUGAUGUUUCAAAGUCACUUGUUAGGAUAAUCAAGCUUUGUGGGUGGGAUAACAGCAAAUGAGCAAUCUUUGCUUUUAUAUUUCAUGAAGACCCACCAUCUGCUCAGGUGCCCCCCCAGCAGCCAAAGCCACACCAAGGAGUGCCAGCUUCGCAGGCGCCCAGCAGACAGCCGAAGUAGCAGGAGCUGGAAGACGCCGUCUGCAGGGUGACUGCCUAGUAUGUUCGGCUGGGGCAGUCGUCCUGAGGCGAGAGCCCAAGAGCAGCCGAGUUUCCGCCAGAAGCUGCUUCAACAAAACCGGCAGGCAUGUCUAAUUCAGAAGAACAGGGAGAAAGUGUCGAAGAAUCUGCGUACCAUAAGAUGUACGGGAAAAAGGCACGCUCCAAAUACCUUCGUGACGUGUAGGGUACUGCCGUGGAUCUUGCAUGAAACGCCAGACUCGAUAACGACGACUAUCGCUGGAAUGAUGCCGUUUUUGGUGUUUCACUCUGACCACGUGACAACGAACUUUUCAUUCGGGUGGCACGAACUGCAAGGUGUGACGUUACCAGCAACAGACCUACUAAAGGAGCGACACAACUACGACCGGAUCACAGGUCAUGGCACCUGGCCGGCGGACAGCAUGGCUCACCCACUUCUGCUGUUUGUGCAGGUAAUGAAGGACGGACUCGGUAACAACAAUUCUGCGUUCGUGUGGGCUUCAGUUGCUGGAAACCCGAAGGAAGAAAGGCAGACUUAAGAUUUUUUUUCAGACACUUCAAAGGCUCUUGAAGAUAAAAAAGGAAAAAUACACCCAGUCUCCUGCAAAACGUAGCGAGUGAAUAAAGCACAGCAGAGCGGUCAAGCUUUAUAACACACGUGCUGAUGGUUUUCGUUACUCUUUUUUCCUGGAUGUAAUCGAAAUGUGGAUUGCCUUACCUGCUGUUAUUGUAGAUCUGACAGAUGUGCAUAAAUUUGAAUGCUCGAUUGAUAUUUUGUAUCGUGGGCACCCAACAUGAUGCUAUGAAAUGUCAAAUGUGCUUGUGUUCUACUAUUUUCCCUCCCUGUAACAACACUCAAGCGAGGGUUAAUAGUAUCAAUAAAAAAAAAGAAGAAGAGAUGGCUGCAAACACUGGCAGCCCGAGAACAGCUGGCAGUACGUCCAGAGCCGGCCCUAAACGAUUCAUUUUAUUACUGCAGGUGCGUCAAUACGUCACUACUUUUUCAUGUGGUGCUACGGGCGACGAAUAUUCUUCGGCACGAGACAGUUCGUGGGUGUGACAGCUUUACUGGAAAUACAGAUAACUGUUCCGGUUCUUCGUGACUUCGGUUCGCAGAGCAAGGUGUUGCCCUGAUUUACCCACACCGUCAUCCUCCCUUUAAAAGGGCGUCACUUUCAAGCAGGAAACACUGUCAACAAGUGCAGUUGGAGGCACGCUCAAAGCCGGCACUAAACUAUUCAUUUGUUACUGCAGGUGAGCUGGUUUUGCUAUCACCGCAAUUCUGUACCCCUCUUGUGCCGCUGACUGCAAAACUGUCCUUUGAUUGUGCGACUGUGUGUGUGCAUUUUUGUACUCUUCUGUGAUGAAGGAAAAGAAGUGUAUUCAGUGUAUAGGUAGUUUUUCUGAUGAGGACCGAUAUAUGGAGCGCUCUAGCUGUGCAUCGUUAUAUUACCUCGGACAUGAGUGCUCGGGUGUGGCUGAAGGCACUUUUUCAUCCAUGGGCGCGUAAAGGCGAGAAAAGUGGCGAUGCAAAACAUGCAGAUCAGUGGAUGCACCCCAAGGUAGUUCUAGUCACUUUACAGCCAUUGCUGAAAAGCUAUCGUUGCUGGAUUCCAUUCGCGAGCAAGUCGAGUCUCUUUCCUUGAUUCCCUCUAAGAUAGACGAGUUGCAGCGCCUGAAGUCUGUGAUCGUAGCAUGCAGUGAAUACAAAAAUGGAAUAAAUAGAUGACUGGGUUAAAUGCCUGUCAAAUAAAGAUGAUUGCUUGCUGCAAGCAUCAGCAACUCGUGACAAAAACGUAUCUGCAUUGUCGUAGAGAGCGGCGAUACUUAAGGAUCACGUCGCUUCACAAGCAGCUAUUAUUGAAAGCCUUCGAAGUGAAAUAAACGCCUCUGAGCAGUAUAGUAGGUUCUCAAACCUCGAAAUUCAUAGAUUAUCCCAAAGUCCCAGCGAGAACUUGACUGCUGCUGUCUCCGGACUGGCCCCUCAGCUGGACAUUGACUCAUUCCUUUCAGGUCUCGUCGUAGCCUUAUGCUGGUUGCUUGGGCAGGGCAAGAAACCAGCGGCAAUUCUGGUGCGCUUUCUUUCGGCAGACAUACGGGACAGCUAGCUGAAAAAGCGGAAAUUAUUUAUGCUUUGGCGCAGGAAAAUGAGCCCUCGAUUUUCUUUGUCAAAAACUUGACAAAAUAGAACAUAGAACAUAGUCUGAGGCUAAGAAAGUGAAUUUCAAGUUCGUGUUGGUGAAACAUGGCAAAAUUUAGGCUCGGAAGAGGGAGGGUGACCCUAUUAUGCGUAUAAUCGGUCCUUCUGACUUGACUGAGCUAGCCUGACAGCUUAUUUUUAUUUUUAUUUUUCUGCUUUGUCUAUUGUAGUUUUGUCUUUGUUUCAUGGCUGUGUUCGAACAAUUCCGUGAUCUUCCUUCUCUCUCUAAUAUCUUUCAAAAGUUGGCGGAAGUACUUUCCCUGUUUUUUCAUGUAAACGUGCUCAGUAUUCGUAAGCAGUGAAAUUAAUUUGUUUCCAAGUUAGGGCUGUGCGUGACAAAGUUGAUGUUUUCUCAACUUAAAUCAGUAUUGGGCAAGAGCAUAUUAGUCUGUUUUCGCUCCAAGGUUGCCACAUUCAUUUUUGUUUACGCGAAAAGAUGGGCGUGGUGGUGAAAUUGCUGUAUCUAUAAAGGAUUGCUGGAUUUCGAGUCCUCUGACCAUAAACUUUACAACUGUUGAAUCGGUAGCGCUUCGUACUCACACAUAUUAUCUUGCCAUUUACUUUGCUUGCUAUAUAUAUGCCUCCAAACCAAAGCGUCAGAAAGUUUGUGCAUGAGUUACGUCUACUUACUUUUCUGUCUGGUCAAGUAUGCAUGAUAGGUGACGUUAACAUUGGCGUGCUGAAGAAAGAACAGGACAUCGUAGAUGAAUACCUGAAUAGGCUUGCUGACCUUGAGAUCAAACUUCCGUUAUCAACCUUCCAACACGUGUCGAAGUUUUGGGCGCAUCAGUCGCGUCUUCAUGUCUAGAUCACAGGAAUGUCCGUAACAAGGACGACCAGGUCUGUCCGUUUAUUAUUGAGCAAAAGCUUUCCGACCACUUUGUGUGGUGUACUUUUUUAUCGUCACAGCAUA
Molecule: non-coding RNA, 5313 nt
Organism: Dermacentor andersoni
Lineage: Eukaryota; Metazoa; Arthropoda; Arachnida; Ixodida; Ixodidae
Source: RefSeq, a predicted model, not a curated record